Long non-coding RNA from Hyla sarda, 406 nucleotides. RefSeq lists it as uncharacterized. NCBI's taxonomy places the organism in Eukaryota, Metazoa, Chordata, Amphibia, Anura, Hylidae. The transcript has 3 exons. The record is from RefSeq and is a predicted model, not a curated record.
GCGUGCACAGUCUCCUCAUUUGGAAUCGCGCCAAAAUCCACAGAAGGUAAAAUCACUGAUUGCCUUUAUGAACAGUAUACAGUGGUCCCUCAAGUUACAAUAUUAAUUGGUUCCAGGACGACCAUUGUAUGUUGAAACCAUUGUAUGUUGAAACUAUAACUCUAUGCAAACCUGGUAAUUGGUUCUGAAGCCACCAAAAUGUCCUCCAAAAAUAGGGGGACGUCACUCGUCAUCAGAGAGAGCCAGCGUUGCUGUCGCGCACCACCACUACCGCCACUGCUGGCAUAAAUAGGGUUUUGGAACAACAACAAACAAUAAUCUGGAACAAGUGACAAGUAUCGCGCAGAGAAACGUAUCCCUUAUCCAGGAUAGGGGAUCAAUUUUAGAUUGGAGGGGGUCUGACCAC